Molecule: long non-coding RNA, 542 nt
Filed under: Glycine max (soybean)
Lineage: Eukaryota; Viridiplantae; Streptophyta; Magnoliopsida; Fabales; Fabaceae
Description: uncharacterized LOC100527211 (LOC100527211)
Source: RNAcentral
ACAUACAAAGCAAUAUAGUUUACACAGCACAUCGUUAUUCAUACAUCUCAGUACUUAUUCGUAUUACUCAACAAAAAUGAAUUACUCGGGAGAUUCUGAAGACAAAAGGGGUUCCCAGUCUUCACAAGGUACUGGGAAAAAGCCUCCUUCCACCCUAGCUGGUGCCAUGAGCUCCGCCAAAAGUUCAAAACACAAAACAGGUUCCAAGUCUUCUGGAAAUGGUACUCAGACACAUGAACAUGAUGUUUCCAUGCGUGACAAACUCAGCGGUGCGGAUGAUUCUAGGAAAAAAAAUGGUUCUAAAAAAAGUCAAGGAAGAUAGAUAUCAAGGGCUUUGUUGUAUAAGGAAAGAAAAUAAGAAGGAAAAAUGAAGUUUGUUUAAACAUGUCUGAAACUUUAUUUUAAAAAUCCCCUGUUGUUUAGAUUCUGGUUUGUAUGUACCAAGAAGUACAUGGGAAUUUAGAUAGAUAAAUAAAUAAGCUUUUAAUAGUGUCAUUCAUGUAGUCAAUCUUAUAUGGAAGAUAAGGUUUUACUGUUGUUGC